RNAcentral lists this ribosomal RNA (465 nucleotides) under uncultured Klebsiella sp. RNAcentral describes it as "bacterial SSU rRNA". It matches the Rfam family "Bacterial small subunit ribosomal RNA", at positions 338 to 795 of the family's 1533-position model. The record is from RNAcentral. Lineage: Bacteria; Pseudomonadati; Pseudomonadota; Gammaproteobacteria; Enterobacterales; Enterobacteriaceae.
CCUACGGGGGGCUGCAGUGGGGAAUAUUGCACAAUGGGCGCAAGCCUGAUGCAGCCAUGCCGCGUGUGUGAAGAAGGCCUUCGGGUUGUAAAGCACUUUCAGCGGGGAGGAAGGCAGUGAGGUUAAUAACCUCAUCGAUUGACGUUACCCGCAGAAGAAGCACCGGCUAACUCCGUGCCAGCAGCCGCGGUAAUACGGAGGGUGCAAGCGUUAAUCGGAAUUACUGGGCGUAAAGCGCACGCAGGCGGUCUGUCAAGUCGGAUGUGAAAUCCCCGGGCUCAACCUGGGAACUGCAUUCGAAACUGGGAGGCUAGAGUCUUGUAGAGGGGGGUAGAAUUCCAGGUGUAGCGGUGAAAUGCGUAGAGAUCUGGAGGAAUACCGGUGGCGAAGGCGGCCCCCUGGACAAAGACUGACGCUCAGGUGCGAAAGCGUGGGGAGCAAACAGGAUUAGAUACCCGAGUAGUC